This 35201-nucleotide long non-coding RNA is filed under the name Lactuca sativa (garden lettuce). RNAcentral describes it as "long non-coding RNA (LSAT_LNC009326)". Lineage: Eukaryota; Viridiplantae; Streptophyta; Magnoliopsida; Asterales; Asteraceae. The record is from RNAcentral.
CCAAAUGUUAUUUUUAUUAGCUAGUUUAUAAGUUGACAACUAACUUUUCAGCUAACAACUAGUUUUUCAGCUAGUCUGUCAAACAUAACUGUCAAACAUGGCUUAAGUGUUUACUCAUCAAAAUGUAAUAUUUAUGUCAAUAAAACAAAAAAAAAAUCAUUAUUAAUAGAACAAAACAUAAACUACGUUGUUACUUCCAUACAUGGAGAAAAAUACAUUACACAAAAUGAACAAAAGUGGGUUGCUAUUUUGCACAGAUAAUAUACUUUCCCAAUAAUACCACCAAAUAAUAAAACAAGCCAUCACAAAAUGCAAGAAAGCACUCUAUACAAAAAUUAGAAAACCAUUAUGGACACAUUUAAAUGACAAAAGGAUGAAGGUAAAAGCUUUAACACUUUGUUGCACUAAUUAAUAAUUAAAAGAGAGUGAAUAAAGAAAAGAGUAUGCUAAAACAUAAACAAAUGAGCUUAAAACAUCAAAACUAAAUUUCCCAAUGGCUUUAACCGGAAUACGGCUAACACAUAAUAGAUCAUUAGGGUUAUUGUGGUUCAAACUUCCGCCAUGCAAAUUUCUACAAAAGUAAUCUCUGCAAAACAAUAUGGUAAUUAAUCAGACUUUGUAAUAGAAUCUCAAGAAAAAAGUGAAAUUUGUCAUGCGUUUGUUUGGCAAGAAAUGGAAUAGAAUCCAAUCCAAUUCCUAUAAUUAUUUAUGGUUUGUAAAUCUAUCAAAGGAUUAAGGGGGAGCUUUUGUUUAUGAAAUUCUAGGAUUAAAAGGGUAUUUGAGUUUAUGAAACCGCUAUAUGCUUUAGAUGAACUCAAAUACCCUUUUAAUCCUAGAAUUUCAUAAACAAAAGCUCCCCCUUAAUCCUUUGAUAGAUUUACAAACCAUAAAGAAUUAGGAAGUUGUGGCAUAUAAACUUCCUCUUCCAAAGUAACAUUGUGAAAUGUGUUCUAAGGCCUAGUUAUGCAUCAUCAUUGUGGACCUUACAAGUUACAACUCACCUGAUGUAAUAGAGUCCUAGUUCUACACAAUACCCAUCUGCUAUUUCAAUUUAAUUCAAUACCGAAAUCAACACACGAUCUGAUACGAGCAGAUACACUAUCUUCAAAGUAGACAAUCACAAAUUUGAACAUAUGCAAUCCACAAUACUCGGUCCAAAAAUAAACAAACAAAUAAACCCUAGAACCUUAUACAGAGGAAAUAGGUGAUGGAGAGAAACUAACCUAGAAAGAUCUCUAUUUGAGAACUUUAGAAGAAGAGUUCUUCUCGUUGUAGAUGAAAUCGGGAGGAGAAUAGAUAAGAGAAGCGAUCAUGGCUCCAGGGAGCACCCCGAAGACAGAAACCGCAGCCAAUUUCUUCACCAAAGGCUCCCCGUCUCUUGUUAUCACCGACAAUAGACCCUUUGUAUAACCCAUUUUCGCCUUUUUCUUUCCCGCAAAAAGAUUCAAAGGGAUCGAUCGAUCGAUUUUGAUCCGUGCUGAGACAAAUCUGAUGUGAUUUCCAGCCCCUUUCUCCGAUUAAAAAACAAGCGACGACAUAUGUGACUAUUUUAUGAAAAAAUGAUAGGAAAGGUCCUUAAAUUUGUAAACAUUUGACGGUUUUACCUAACAUUCAUUUAUGUGUGUAGCUGUCUUAAAGGUGCAAACUUUUCUCCGUAAGGCUAACCGGUAAGGAGCGAUUUUCACGUGUCUUGGGCUUAUGUGGUGCGCCUUCACAUGGGUGAACACCGCCCCCAGGUUCGGUGGGGUGCGCGUGACGUGGCUCCGGAGACGGGAUGAGACGACGAAUAGGAAACCUCCUUUUUGCAACAACUGAAUUUUGGUGGGGAACGGUCUUUUGACCGAUUAAACAAUUAAAAAAAAUUAUUUUUUAAAAUUUAAACAAACUCAACUUCAUCUAUAAAUUACCUACUAUUUUAUUUACAAUUUACACUUCAAAAAACACUCUCUACAUUUUAUUACGAUCUAAAAAAAACACUCAUCUCUCUCAUAUAUAUAUAUAUUUUUCUCUCUACAUGGAUUCAAAUCAAAAUACCUCAAACAAUCCAAAUGCAAAUGUUAGCUACAACCUACAUGAAAUUGUUAACCUCUCCAAUCCAACAACCUUUAUUCACCACUUCAUACCCCUCAAACUUCUACCAACAACAACCACAACAAUUCAAUCAACCCCAAUUCCAAGCAUUUCAACAACAACCUUCUCAACAAUUUCAACAAUUUUCUCAACAAUUUCAACAACCUUCUUUUAUACCUCAACAAUUUCAACCAUCUCAAGUCUCAUUAUCUCAAUCUCAACCUAUAAAUCUUGACAAUGACGACGACGACGAACGGGUCCAAUAAACACAACAACCAACUCGUCGAAGGCAAAAAAAAAAACAAAAGAUCCAAGAAAAAAAAGAACUACUGCAUGGAACGAAUACGAGGAAGAAGCUUUAACGAAAACUUGGAUUUUCAAAUCGCAAGACGGUGAUGUCAGCAACUCGUAAACGGGUCAAAGUUUUUGGUGUCGUAUUUUAGAUCAUUUCCACGCGUUAUUAGGAAAGAAAACGAAACGGGCGUACGACUUGAUCAACGCAAAAUGGCGUGAUUUACGAGCGGCUUGCACCAAAUUCAAUGAGAUAUUUGACAAGCUUAAAAACAUGCAUAGAAGUGGUAGCAACAAUUUCAAUAUUUUAGCAAUCGUGACCUACGAAUGCAAAAUUACUACCAAUGGUAAACCGUUUGGCCACCAAAAAGCGUGGGAAGUUUGUCGUAACGGUCCAAAAUGGGUUUUAUAUUCGGAAAUGGCGCAUUCGGGAUCUACUAGCAGUUCUAACAAAAGGGCAAGAACGACCGAGUCGGACGUGGGUUUUGGACUCGACCUCAACGAUGACUUCGACGCCACCGAAGGGGAGGGCCCAUCAGACGUCCAACUUCGUCAACCAUCGGGAAGGGACAAAGCGAGAAAGGGAACGUCUUCAAGCAUAAAAGCAUUGGCAACUAGUGAAGGCAAGCUUGCGACAUCCAUAGAUAAAGCUCUAGUUUUUCUAGAAAAAAAUACGAAUCAACGGAGGAAGCUCGUCGCCAAAAAAUAGCUCUUAUCGAUCUUCAAAUCAUAAACACAAAGCCCCAACCGGAUAUUGACCGUGAAAAUCUUGUGACGUUUCAUAAAAUUCAACGAUAAGUCCGGGACAAAUAUGUAAUUUAGGUUCUAUUAUUUAUGGUUUUAAGUAAUUUAUCAUUUUUAUUUUUUACGCUUUUUUUAAGAAUUUUAGGAUUUUAAUUUGUGUUUUUUUAUAUUAAUGUAAUGUGUUUUUAAUUUUAAUGUAAUGUGUGUUUUUUAUUUAAAUUUUGGGUUUUAUUUAAAUUAUCGUUUGUAUUUUGUUUUUUUAUUUAAUUUAAUGUUAAAAAAAAGAAUUUGUGGAGUGGUAACCAUUUCCAAUGUUUAAGAGGGUGGUAAUGGGUUGGUGGUGAAGUUGACGUGACACACAUGUGACAUCAUUUUUUCGGUGGGUUGGGUGUGACCACUCCCCAAAGCUUAAAUGACAUGUAAUAACUAACAAAUAAAAGUGUAAAAGUACCCCGUAUGGGUCUAAUAACGUCGGUAUUGCCAAUGUCUACUCACCAAAUGUUGUUGCCGCUACACUCUCAUACAUUUUUUACACAUUUCCUUCUUUCCCCUUAUAUUUUAUAUAUCUAAUUCUACUUCAACAACAAAAAUGGAUCAAAAUCCAAACGCCCCUCCACCAAACCAAAACCCAAACACACAACCACACACAACAUCUCCUAUCGGAUUUACCGGUUACGAGAAUUAUUUUAACCUUCUAUCGUCUUAAGGUUCACAACAAAUCUCAUAUCAAGGAGCCUAUGUCAAUCACGCAUCACCACCACUCCAUUUUCUAACUCACCUUGCCUUCAACAAAAUCUUUUAAAUAUUAUGUUUUAUAAAAAUAUAUUUGUUUUAUUAAUUAAAAAAAGAAACAUAAAAAAGAGAAAAAAACUCAAAAAAGAAAAUCAAAAAAUAUAUGACAUGUAAAAUAUUGGUGUUGUAACAUGAAAACCAUUUUCUUGUUUGGUGUUAUAACACCAUUGCUUAUGUGACAUGUAAGGUGACACCAAAUUUGUUGUUAUACCUAGGGUGUGUUUGAUUCAUUUUUUUAACUUAAAAGUCCUUUUAUAAAAAAGACUUUUUAUAAAAGAACUUUUUCUACAAAGAGGUCUUUAAAAUGUGUUUGCCUUGACUUUUAAAACUUUUAAGAGUUGAAAGCAAAAAAUCAAUUUCUGGUUAAGUCAAAGUCAAACAAAGUCAAUGAGUCAAACCGAUAAGCUCAUCUAGUGCUUGUAUGAUAGGGUUUACUCUAUGUUUACUAAUGUACAACUCUUUACCUUAAUACAAAGUAUCACUCGAAAAUUUCAUAUGUUAAGAAAAUUCUAAACCCUAACUAGGGUGAGCGAUGUAACGAAUCUAUAAAGUACUAUUAUGUACCCAUCGGGGGAUUAAGACACUCAUAACAAAGCAUAAUGGGGUUUGCGAACCUUGCAUUAUGGGGACAAACACUAACAAGGCUACAAACAAAAUCUCUCCCACUCUAUCUCUAUCUCUCCCAAAUCUCUCUCAAAAUCACUCCCAAUCUCUCUCAUACCUAUUAGUGAUAAAAAUCAUGAUUUCCAAUGUUUUUAUGAACAUCCGUACCAUCCCGAGCCUUCCCUUGGUCGAAAACAGCUUAAAACGGAAGAAAGAAGUCAAAAAGAGGGUUGAAGGUUCGCAGGGUACGGUUCACCUGCGAACCUUCGCGUGCCUUCGCGUCCCUCCCCUUGCCAAGUUUGUUUUUGGGUUAGAAGUUCGUUUCUAACUGGGAAAUUUCGCACUUAACCUUCUCACAAGCAAAACCGGACAAUUUCGCUUCUAUCCGGGCAAGUUCGCUUCUACUCGCCCAAGUUCGUUCCUACUCGACAAGAUUCGCGCCUCCUGACAUUCGCAUGCGAACCGAAGACCUUCGCUUCCUGCCCAACCUUCGGAGCCAAGCCUCCCCUCGGACCGAACCCUCCUAUCGCCUGCAAACCUCUCAGACCGAAACCUCCCCUGUCACGAACCUUCUCGGCUGCGAGCCUUCCCUUUGAAGGUACGCAUCCACUUCCCCGUUUUUGACCAGUUUUGCAUUUUAAGCCCGUUUUUUUUAUGAUUUUAACGUGGGAAUUUCACCAAAUUCGUAUUUUCAUCAUUUUAAACCCUCCAAAAUCAUAUUUUAUUCCCAUCUUGAAGAUUUAUUUUCUAUAAAUCAUAUCUUUUGUUCAAGAUCACACACAAAGGUUUGUUGACUUUUCCCUAUAAAGUUAUGACACCAAGCCAUCCCCAUAUCAACUUUAUGUCACUAUUCACAUUCUACCUAGUCAAAUCAAUAUCUUUCUUCAAACACUCCAUCAGAUCUUCCCAUGACCAUAUCCAUCUAAUAGAUCUUUAAUCAUCACCUAUAAAACCUCAUUUACUUCCUCCAAAAACAAACUUUCUUUCUCUCUCUCUCUCUCUCUCUCUCUCUCUCUCUCUGGAACUCGAAACCCCCAGGAGGUCUCUAGCUUUCCUUCAUUCUUAGUAAUUUCUUCAUUUCUAUUCCUAAAUAUUCUUCAUUUCUUCAUACAAAUCAUGGGUCAUUUACACAAAUAUUGACAUAUUUGUUCUUCGGAUCUUCAAAUCCUCAAGCAUCCUUCAAGUGUUCUUGACUUGAAACUCUUCAUCUUCAACCUUCCAUUCAUCAAGAAAUCACAAAAGGUGAUUUCAUACCCUUACAUUUUCAUGUUUUCUUUAAGUUUUUUUUGGUGGUGGUGGGGGGGGGAUACAAUUUACAACACCCAAAACAUAUUCUAAUAUAUACUAACAACUUUCAUUAAAAAAGUUGUGGUCUAUUCAAGAACUGUUUUGACCAUCUUAAACUCAAUAUUUUUCAAAACUAUUCAAUAUGAAUUUAGUUCGGGUUUAUUGUAACACCGUGAAUUUCAAAAUAAUUUUUCGCACAAUAUAAAAACAUUUUCAUUUAAUUUUCAUAAAAACAUCAAUGUUUUAAGACUCCAAUCCAUAUCAUACAAAAUCCCAAGAUCACAUAUCAUAAAAAUCUCAUGCAUGUGUACAGAUCAAGCCGGCGCCUUCCCAUGGUCAUCACUAGUACCUGAAAUAAGCAACACUAACACUGUAAGCACAAAGCUUAGUGAGUUCCCCAAAAUACCACACAUAACACAUAUUAGCCACUCGAGGCUAUAACUCUAUGGGUCCGUAGACCCUGCUCUGUGAACCCACUGGUUCUAACUUUGGGAACCUUCCGGUUCCAACUCUAUAAACAUGCACAGCAUAAAUCACAUAGAAAUAUUGCAGUACAACACAUAACAGACAUAUAGCAUACAAAUACUCUAUCACAUAACUAUGAUUACCUACUCAAGGUAAAGUAUAGUGAGAAGACUCACCUCGUAUAUCUCGAUAACUCGCGAAUCCUGGAAAUCGCUCGUGCUCGAUCCUCGGAGCUAUAAUCCUCCUAUAACAUCAUAUAUCUCUAAUUAACACUUUUACCACUAAGGUUGACUACCCCUAUCAAGUCAACACUGGUCAACUCUGGUCAACAGUCAACGGUCAACUUUGACCGGACUCGGCGAGUGCACUAGGGCGACUCGGCGAGUCUAUACGUGUUCACUGACUCCCUAGGAUCCUCUCCUGACACGUCGAGUACACCCCCAACUCGACGAGUCCCACCUGGCAUGAAUCGCGGGGCCACCACGACUCAACUCGCCGAGUCUCAAGAACAACUCGGCGAGUUCCAGCUCGACUCAGUCCACCUGUCAACCCUCUCUAACUCUCCCUGACUCACUGAGUCAACCCUUAACUCGGCAAGACCACUCGCUGAGUGGUUAAGGACAAUCUUCAUGCUACUCGCCGAGUCUGUUCUUCGGACUCGGCGAGUCCAUGCCAUGCAUCAACUCAAUCUCGCUUCUGAGGUCAGAUCCGCUCCAACAACUCAUAGAUCUGGCCCUCCCAAGCACAUUCAUCACGUAAAGUCACAGUCUUGGCUACCAUGCAACGCCUACAAGGCUUCUUUUGAAGAAAUGACCUCUAAAAUGGCAACCUAAGUCUCCAACUCAAAAGGAAAGACAUAAAGCAUGGCAUUUGGGACUCUCUGGACCUACUAAGGUCCAGAUCUAGGUACCAUAUCCCCAUGGGACCUCUCACACUCCAAAUACAAGGCAAACAAGGCAUGAAGAAACCCUAGAUUUGACCAUAUCAACAAAAACACGAGAAUAAGCUCUGAAUGAUACCUCAAGAAGCUUCCUCUGACGAAAUGGAAGUAGAUCCAAGCUCCCCAACUCUCCUAGCUUGAUUUUCCCCUUCCUUUCUUGCAAAUACACACAAAAUUGGUGAAUAAUGGCCUCUUAUCUCACUCACAAGAACUCUCAGCUGUUUAGGUGCUCUCAAGGUCAAGGUAGCCGCAAUGAAGGGCCAUAAGGUCCUUUAAAUAGGGCUUAGGACCGGGAAAUUAGGGUUUCAUUAAACAGCGCGGACUCGCCGAGUCCAUUCCUUGGACUCGCCGAGUCCAGGCGCGAACCCGCGUCCAGAACCGCGAUCCUACUCGGCGAGUUUGAGCUCCAACUCGCCGAGUCCCCUCACAAAACACCAAAAAUAUAUGAAUAAAAGAUACCUGGAAAUCCAGGCUGUUAUAAUUCUCCCCCACUAGAACUAGACUUCGCCCUCGAAGUCUCGCUCUGCAAAUAGCUCCGGAUGCUGCUCACGUAUCUCACGCUCCGGCUCCCAAGUCAUCUCUGACCCUUCCGAUGCUGCCAUUGAACCAAAACCAAGGGUACCUCCUUGUUCCUCAGAACCUUGAUAUUCCGAUGUUUGAUGGCCACUGGUCUCUCAGCAUAAUUCAGGCUCGCAUCUACCUGAAUAUCCUCUAAUGGAACCACUGCCGACUCAUCGGCUAUACACUUCCUCAGCUGCGACACAUGGAAAGUGUCGUGAAUCUGCCCCAACUCUGCUGGCAAAUCCAAACGAUAGGCUACCCGGCCUACCCUCGCGAUCACACGGAAAGGACCAAUAUAUCGGGGCCCCAAAUUGCCCCUCUUCCUGAAUCGAAUCACUCCUUUCCAAGGAGAGACCUUCAGGAGUACAAGGUCGCCGACCUGGAACUUAAGCUCGGACCGGCGCCUGUCUGCGUAACUCUUCUGUCGGCUCUGAGCGGUCAACAACCUCUGUCUGACCUGCUGGAUCUGCUCUGACGUCUGAAGCACGGUCCCUGUACUGCCCAUUACCCGCUGUCCAACCUCUCCCCAACAAAUGGGGUUCUGACACCUUCUCCCAUACAACAACUCAAAGGGUGGCAUACCAAUGCUCGAAUGAUGGCUGUUGUUGUAGGAAAACUCUACCAAGGGCAAAUAUGCAUCCCAGCUACCCCCGAAAUCCAACACACAUGCCCGGAGCAUGUCCUCGAGCGUCUGAAUCGUCCGUUCACUCUGACCGUCUGUCUGGUGAUGAUAUGCGGUACUAAAAUGCAGUCUAGUACCCAACUCCUCAUGAAACUUCUUCCAGAAUCUGGAAGUGAAACGCACAUCUCGGUCUGAAACAAUCGAGAUCAGCACCCCAUGCCGAGAUACCACUUCCCUCACAUACACCUCCGCCAAUUUCUCUGCUGAAGAACUCUCGCUGAUAGCAAGGAAGUGAGCGCUCUUCGUCAAUCUGUCCACAAUCACCCAAAUUGUAUCCAAUCCUCUGGCAGUGCUUGGCAAUUUGGUGAUGAAAUCCAUAGUGAUUUGUUCCCACUUCCAUUCGGGAACCUCCAAUGGCUGCAACUUACCAUGCGGCCUCUGGUGCUCGGCCUUAACCCUACGGCAGGUCAAGCACCUCUCAACAAACCACGCGACAUCCCUCUUCAUACAGGGCCACCAAUACUCCUUUCUCAGAUCCAAAUACAUCUUAGUGGCCCCCGGAUGGAUCGAAAAUUUCGACCGAUGCGCCUCCUCCAUCAAAAUGGUACGCGUUCCUCCCACAAACGGUACCCAGAUACGCCCCUGAAAUGUCAUAAGCCCCCGACCAUCGGUAACGAACUCUGAAACCAAACCAACAACCCGUUCCCUCUUCUGCAUCUCAGGUUGCACAGCCUCGGCCUGUGCCCCACGAAUGGCGUCCAACACUGGAGCUAUCACGGUCAAUCUCAAACAUACAUCCCGCAGCGGGGUGCUCUCCGCCCUGCGGCUCAAUGCAUCGGCUACAACAUUAGCCUUGCCUGGGUGGUACAGGAUCUCACAAUCAUAAUCCUUGACCACAUCCAACCACCUUCUCUGACGCAUAUUUAGGUUGGGCUGAUCCAUCAAAUACUUCAAACUCUUAUGGUCCGUGUAUAUCGUACACCGAACCCCAUACAAGUAGUGACGCCAAAUCUUGAGGGCGAACACCACUGCCCCCAACUCUAGAUCAUGGGUGGGAUAUCUCGUCUCAUGAGGCUUCAGCUGCCUCGAUGCAUAUGCUAUCACAUGCCCUCUCUGCAUCAGCACCGCUCCCAACCCCAAAAUCGAUGCAUCACAGUAUACCACAAAGUCCUCCAUCCCUUCCGGGAGGGCUAACACCGGGGCUUCGCACAACCUUUGGCGAAGUGUCUCAAAGGAGGCCUGCUGCUCGGGGCCCCAUGAAAAAGCAACACCCUUCCGGGUCAAUCUGGUGAGUGGCACUGCGAUCUUAGAGAAAUCCUUGAUAAACCUCCGAUAAUACCCUGCCAACCCUAGGAAACUCCUGAUCUCGGAGGGUGACUUCGGCACCUCCCAACUCAUCACUGCCUCAACCUUGGCCGGAUCGACCAAUAUCCCUUCCUGGUUAACGAGAUGUCCUAAGAACUGGACCUCCCGCAACCAGAAAUCACACUUGGAGAAUUUGGCAUAAAGCCUCUCCGAUCUCAGAACUCCGAGAACCUCUCUCAAAUGCUCCUCAUGCUGCUCUCUAGAUCUCGAAUAUACCAGAAUGUCGUCGAUAAAUACAAUCACCGACCGAUCCAGCAUCGGCCUACACACUCGGUUCAUGAGAUCCAUGAACACUGCCGGGGCAUUGGUGAGCCCGAAAGGCAUCACCACAAACUCAUAAUGCCCAUAACGCGUCCUGAACGCUGUCUUCUGGACGUCCUCAUCCCGCACUCUCACCUGAUGAUAUCCAGACCUCAAAUCGAUCUUGGAGAACCAAGAUGCUCCCUGCAACUGAUCGAACAAAUCGUCGAUCCUCGGCAACGGGUAACGGUUCUUGACCGUCAGCUUGUUCAACUCCCGGUAAUCAAUGCACAUCCGGUGUGAACCAUCCUUCUUCUUGACGAACAGGAUAGGCGCUCCCCACGGCGAGCUGCUCGGCCGAAUAAACCCCUUCCCCAGCAGCUCCUGAAGCUGCGAGGAUAACUCUUGCAUCUCUGGAGGUGCAAGGCGAUAAGGCACCUUAGCGAUAGGCGCGGCCCCCGGAACCAAAUCGAUACUGAACUCCACUUGCCUCACAGGAGGCACACCCGGCAACUCCUCGGGAAAUACAUCCGGGAACUCACGCACCACCGGAACCUCCUCAACUGAACUCGGCCUCUCGGAAACCACCCGCGUAUCCAUCACAUACGCCACAAAACCCUUACAGCCCUGCUGUAGACACUGCCUCGCCCUAGCGGCCGAACAAAACGCUGAUCCUGAACGUGUACCCUCGCCGUACACCGAAAGAACUCCCCCACUAGGGUCUCGUAUGGUCACCAGCUGACGCUCGCAGUCGAUAACCGCACCGAAUCUGCUCAACCAGUCCAUGCCCACAAUGACACAGACAUCACCCAUCGCAAUAGGAACCAGAUCAAUCGGGAACUCAACACCGAAAAUCUCGACUACGCACCCUCGGAGAACCUCCGUGGCAUAUAUCAUCCUCUCAUCAGCUAUGGACACUCUCAGAGGCCGACUCAAUGCCUCACAACUAACAUUGAUAUGCUGACUAAAGGCCAAAGAUACAAAAGACCGACUCGCACCCGAGUCAAAUAACACUAAGGCAGGUACAGAAUUCACAAGAAAAGUACCUACACACAACAUAAUAUAAGCAUAAUAUCUCAACAUCAAAAUAAAUACACGAAAGAAUACAUACCAGCCACGACAUCGGGCGCUGCGCGGACCUCCUCCGCGGUCAGCUGAAAAGCUCUCCCUCGUGCCCUCGGCGCCUCGGCCUUCACUGGCNUCACAUAACUCUGAUUACCUACUCAAGGUAAAGUAUAGUGAGAAGACUCACCUCGUAUAUCUCGAUAACUCGCGAAUCCUGGAAAUCACUCGUGCUCGAUCCUCCGAGCUAUAAUCCUCCUAUAACAUCAUAUAUCUCUAAUUAACACUUUUACCACUAAGGUUGACUACCCCUAUCAAGUCAACACUGGUCAACUCUGGUCAACAGUCAACGGUCAACUUUGACCGGACUCGGCGAGUGCACUAGGGCGACUCGGCGAGUCUAUACGUGUUCACUGACUCCCUAGGAUCCUCUCCUGACACGUCGAGUACACCCCCAACUCGACGAGUCCCACCUGGCAUGAAUCGCGGGGCCACCACGACUCAACUCGCCGAGUCUCAAGAACAACUCGGCGAGUUCCAGCUCGACUCAGUCCACCUGUCAACCCUCUCUAACUCUCCCUGACUCACUGAGUCAACCCUUAACUCGGCAAGACCACUCGCUGAGUGGUUAAGGACAAUCUUCAUGCUACUCGCCGAGUCUGUUCUUCGGACUCGGCGAGUCCAUGCCAUGCAUCAACUCAAUCUUGCUUCUGAGGUCAGAUCCGCUCCAACAACUCAUAGAUCUGGCCCUCCCAAGCACAUUCAUCACGUAAAGUCAUAGUCUUGGCUACCAUGCAACGCCUACAAGGCUUCUUUUGAAGAAAUGACCUCUAAAAUGGCAACCUAAGUCUCCAACUCAAAAGGAAAGACAUAAAGCAUGGCAUUUGGGACUCUCUGGACCUACUAAGGUCCAGAUCUAGGUACCAUAUCCCCAUGGGACCUCUCACACUCCAAAUACAAGGCAAACAAGGCAUGAAGAAACCCUAGAUUUGACCAUAUCAACAAAAACACGAGAAUAAGCUCUGAAUGAUACCUCAAGUAGCUUCCUCUGUCGAAAUGGAAGUAGAUCCAAGCUCCCCAACUCUCCUAGCUUGACUUUCCCCUUCCUUUCUUGCAAACACACACAAAAUUGGUGAAUAAUGGCCUCUUAUCUCACUCACAAGAACUCUCAGCUGUUUUGGUGCUCUCAAGGUCAAGGUAGCCGCAAUGAAGGGCCAUAAGGUCCUUUAAAUAGGGCUUAGGACCAGGAAAUUAGGGUUUCAUUAAACAGCGCGGACUCGCCGAGUCCAUUCCUUGGACUCGCCGAGUCUAGGCGCGAACCCGCGUCCAGAACCGCGAUCCUACUCGGCGAGUUUGAGCUCCAACUCGCCGAGUCCCCUCACAAAACACCAAAAAUAUAUGAAUAAAAGAUACCUGGAAAUCCGGGCUGUUACAUUUAUAACUUUCUAAUGACUACUUGCACACAUUUAUACGAUUUAUGGCGAUUUUUACAAAAUUGCCUUUCAUUUCAGGAAACGAUUUUGGACCAGUCUGUGAAUAUGGACAUUUUCACACUGGUUAGAGACCUUUAAAAAUCAUAAUAAAAAUUAUGAACAAACUAGACAUAUUUUCUAAACUCUCAAAGUUUACGGAUCUAGUUUUCGACUUACAAUAUUUUUUCUAUGAUUUUUCUAAAAACAGUGACAAAAAAGUCAAAAGUAGUAAAAAUAGUUUAUAAAUUCAUUAACACUCUGUAACAUGUUGAGCAAAGUGUAUAACCAUGUUUAGCUACAUCUUAAUCAUAUUUCAUGUUAGUUUAUCUUCAUGAAAUAGAAUUAGACAUUUAUCAUAAGGAUUUUUCAUUCAUUACAAACAUAUAUGAUAAGCUAUAAUAGGUAUACUUUAUGGUUUGUUACACUACAAAUACACUAUGAAAGGUUUCCAGUACACUACAAAAGGGGUUUUCAUUUACUACAAACAUAUGGGAUAAACUAUAAUAGGUAUAGUUUAUGGUACAUUAACACUACAAACAUACUAAGGAAGGUUUCAUUUACACUACAAAAAGGAUUUUCAAUCACACUACAGGUAAACUCGAUGAAUCAAAUUUGUGAGACGUCACUUCAUUGUACUCUUUAGGGUACUGUUUAUAGUCCUGUAUUAUAACCAUAGUCUCCUGUAGGGAGAGCAUGAUACUUGUAUAUAGAUCUAUAUUGGGACUGACAAUCCCGCACCUAAGCUGCAUGCAACAGCUAGACCGGCAGGUCUAGGGUGACAAAUGUCAAAACAUUCUGACGCCCGAAGUACGUCGUAACAAGCUUACUAUGUCAAUUGAACAGUUAUAAUAACUCACAUAGGGAAACAACGACACAUAAAGUUUACGGUAAUUCUUACAUUCGAAAGGGUUUUAAUUAUUUAAAACUGCCUACACUAUUAUAAGUAUGGAAAAAUACUUGUACGUUUCGGUCUUUGGGUUUUAAGACUACAAUUCAUUUAUAAGGAAAAUAUUGGAUUUCCUUGAACAUACACUACCUUUACAAAGAAAGAUUUUUCAAUUCUACAUACAAAAGCUUAUGCACUCACUAACUUAAUUUUUGACAUUCUAUCAAAAUUACUUGUAUUCUUAGGUAAUCAAUGAAAACAGAUAACUAACAGCUUUUAAGGAUGGAACGCUACGACGUUAGACAAACCAUUUUAUCAUUAUAUUGUAAUCUAUUUUUAAACAUGUAACUUAUGAAACCAUGUAACUUUUUUGAUUAUAUUUAUGAUGGUUGUAUUUACUAUGAUCACUAUUAUACUCAUUGUUAUGAUACUAUACAUGAAGUCCUCCACCCCCGAACGCUUCCUCCAUCCUUGGUUUGGGGGUGUGACAGAUUAGUAUCAGAGCAUUGUUUAUAGUGAACUAAGUAUAUCGAACCACAUAAGAUAUACCAACUAUAAACAUAUUGGGACUAAAACUCUCUGAUUAAACAUUUUUCAUACAACUAUACUUUUAGAAAUAAAAUGUUUUUUUAAAAGUAUAAGUACAUGCAUACAUGCUAGUAUAGUGUCGUAACUAGGAAUAAUACAAAGUAAAAGAGAACGAGUUGUACGCUGCGAGUAUGCCUUGGGAUAUUUAGUCAAGUCUGGGAUGAAUAUAGCUUGAUCAACUAUAUUUGUUCGAAAAAUGACUGGCAUAUGCUGGGGGAUAGUCGUAGUGGACAACAAAUCUAACAACCUACCAUCACCCUAUAAGAAACGCACUAAGAACCGAACAAAACAUUUAAAAUACUAUAGAAGUAUUUUAUGUUGCUUUAGCGCAAUAUUUUUAGACUCAUUAUCUGCCUCUUACACCCCCUAUUCUCGCACAGAUGUCAUAGUAGGAUUCCACUUACCGGGAGACCCCUACUUCCCGAACCAGGGAAACAUGGGAUGGAUAGAGGAGGAACCAGAAGAAGAUCCCAAUGAGGACUUCGAAGAAGUCGAAGAGGAAGAACCCGAAGAAGAUGAACUUGAAGAGGAACUGGAGGAAGAAGAAGACAAAGAGGAGUCGGAAGAGGAGCCGUAGGUCAUCAACCCUCCUUAUGUAUCCAGGUUUCCCGCGAACCGUUUUGGCUACAACAGACCUAUGCCCUGUUGGGCAUCAGAAAUCGAUAGGUGGAGUGGUCAUCAGCGACAACGAUCACCAUUUGGCGGUCAACGAGGUUAUUAUGACCUCAACCAUGGAGGACCGGCUGACAAAGCCCUCCCAGUUGUGAUCCAGCAAAUCAAAAACCUUAGGGAUCAAAAUAGGGAAACGGCGAAUCGAGUUCGAGAGCUCACCGCUGUUGCGGAAGCCACCGACGCACGUACUCGAGACUUGGAAAGAGACUACUAUCCCAUGGACCAACUCAUUGAGGACUUUACAGCCGCUUGGGCGGAGGUAAGGGAGUAUCAGGAAAGGCACACGAAUCUCGAGGAGACAGUGAUCGCAGCCGAGCGCCGGUUAGCAGAACUACAUGGCGCCUCGACUUCGUCUCAAGGACGGCAGGGGACUGGUCGUUGUGAGUAGGGUUCACACUACUUACAAAUCUUUAUAGAUUAGGUUUAUGAGUUUGUGUUAGUGCUACUCUUCUCUAUGUGUAGGUUCAAUCCUGCGAUUAAGUUAUUACACUAGUCAAAGGAUUGUUUUGUUGUCAAAAUUUUUCCUUAUAUUGAUGUGAUGUAGACCUACUUCAAGGUCAAAUUUUCCAAACUCUAUGUACUAAAUCAUAUUAGUGAAAUUGGCAUGCAUAUUAUAUUUCAUUGGGAGUACUACCACAAAAAUUCAUAACAAUGUAUAUCGUUACUUAUGGUGAAUCGACGUUUACUUAGUGUAUGCAGUGACGUUGUAUGUAAUUAAGAUUCCAUCGAUUUAGAAAUGGUGGUUCCACUUUAAGUCAUGUUCCUUGUUUGGUUGUGGGCUUAGGGUAGACCUAUUAGAUUCAACGAUCUAUUCAAACUUAGUUAUACGCAACUAGCAUACGCCAAGCGAUUGUAGAAAGACCUGGUAUGGAUCAAGUCUCGAGAUUUCAUUAAGACAUUACUAUUGAAUUAAUAAGUUCAAUCAUAUGGACUUCCAUCAUGAAUUGCUUGCAAACGCUUUAAAGUCGAGACAUAAUACAAAUAAUAUAGCUCAAUAACAACCGACAUAUCACCACUAUUAAAGGCUUAUCAUAUUUUCGUCUUUAAAACUUGUGGCAGAAAUAUGCCACCACGGAAAAAUCCCAGACCUUCCAACAACGCACCACCACCACCUCCGCCACCAUCUCCGCCACCACCGCAGUUUGACCCUGCUAUGUUCCAAGCUGUCGUAACAGCAACCGUGGCAGCUGCAAUGUCACAAAUCAGUACAAAAUGGUGCUGGUGGUUCGUGAAAUGGUACUACAAAAUCUAACUAGGGAGACAGUCAUGGAAGCUCAAAGGAAUGUUCCUACAAAGAUUUCACAAAUGGAAAACCCAAAUCCUUCAACGGAAGCGGGGGCGUCAUCACUCUGAUGUAAUGGUUCGAGAAGACGGAAUCAGUCUUCGAGAUUUGUGCAUGUCUUGAAGCUAGCAAAGUCAAAUUUGCAGCUUGCACUUUCACUGACCGAGCCCUUACCUGGUGGAACGGUCAUGUAAAGUCAUUGACUCUCCCAAUAGCGAAUGCAAUGAGCUGGGAGGAUUUGAAGACCCUAAUGCUCACUGAAUAUUGCCCAAGGGGUGAGGUUCAGAAAUUGGAACAAGAACUUUGGGGCCUCAAGAUAACCGGCUCUGACGUCAUGUCUUAUACAGCCAAGUUCAGCGAUCUGGCCAUACUAUGUCCCGGGUUGGUCACCCCGGAGAGUAAAAAGGUGGAUAGAUACAGUUGGGGACUAACCCCCCGGAUUCAAGGGAACAUGUUGGCCUCAAAACCGACUACAUUUGACAGUGCCAAGCAGUUGGCACAACAACUCAUCGACCAUAGGGCCAACCAUGGCACUGUGGCGGCCACCCCCGAGCAAGCAAAAGGGGGAAACAACAAAAGAAAGUUCUGGAGCCACAAGAAGAGCCAGCCGACCCAGGAUUCUACCAAGAAAAAACAAAUAGUGACGGUUCUCGCUGUCACUACCCCCUCCGCUCCAGCACCCCUGAGGCAGUGUGUUGGAACCCUCCCCAAAUGUAACAAGUGCAGCUUCCAUCACACCGGCCCUUGUUGAGAGAUGAACUGCAGAAACUGCAACUAGAAAGGGCAUACCGCCCGAUUCUACAAGGCGCCAGCCCAACAAGCCACCCCGACCGCCAACACUGGGGCAAGCCGAGCCUGCUACAACUGUGGGGAGAUCGGGCACUAGAAAAGAGAUUGCCCAAAGGCCAGAAACGCAAAUGCCGGCAGUGUCGGAAGGGUCUUGGCCUUAGGGCAUGGGGAAGCCAUGGAAGAUCCCACGGUGGUUACCGGUACGUUUCUCCUCAAUAACUCAUAUGCAUGCAUAUUAUUCGAUAGUGGAGCGGAGAGGAGUUUUAUUAGCCAUCAAUUCAAACAAUUACUAAAACAAAAUCCCUAAUCACUAAAAGAUACAUACAUCGUAGAAAUGAAAAAUGGAAAGGCAGAGAGCACUAACAAAAUAUACACAGGGUGUACCCUCACUCUAGACAACCACUCAUUCAAAAUCGAUCUAAUGUAUGUUUCAAUAAAAAGCUUCGACGCCAUCAUUGGCAUGGACUGGUUAAGUUCUAAUCGUGCCAACAUUCUGUGUGAUGAAAGGGCCAUUCUCCUUAAUCUGCCAAGUGGCAAGACUCUCGUCAUUUAAGGCAACAAACCUAGCACAAACCUACAAAUCAUCUCUUGCAUCAAAGCCCCAAAGUAUCUCCAUAAGGAAUACCACACCUUCUUAGCCCACGUAGUGGAUAAGAAGCUGGAGGUGAAAGACAUCAAGGACAUUAUGGAGGUCUGUAAUUUCCCGGAUGUAUUUCCAGAAUACCUUCCCGGAGUUCCACCCGCACAACAGGUCGAAUUUUGAAUCGACCUAAUUCCCGGAGCUACCCCUGUAGCCAAAGCGCCAUACCGCCUAGUGUCAGGCGAGAUGCAAAAAUUAUCCAGCCAAUUGAACAAACUACUAAGAAAAUGGUUCAUUAGGCCGAGCUUCUCGCCUUGGGGAGCGCCAGUCCUGUUCGUGAAAAAGAAGGAUGGAUCGUUCUGCAUGUGCAUCGACUACCGCAAGAUGAAUAAGCUUACCAUAAAAAACCGAUAUCCUCUACCCCGAAUCGACGACCUUUUCGACCAACUCCAAGGAGCAACUUGCUUCUCAAAAAUCGAUCUGAGGUCGGGAUACCAUCAACUACGGUUCCAGGAGGAGGAUGUUCCUAAAACGAUGUUCAGGACCUGGUACGGUCACUACGCGUUUGUAGUGAUGCCCUUCGGAUUAACAAACGCACCCGCGGUGUUCAUGGACCUAAUGAACUGGGUGUGCCAGCCUUACUUAGAUAAGUUUGUGAUUAUCUUCAUAGAUGACAUACUGGUUUAUUCAAGGAGUAAGGAAGAGCACAGCCAACACUUACGACAAGUAUUAGAGACAUUAAGGGCGGAGAAAUUAUAUACAAAAUUCUCAAAGUGCGAAUUUUGGAUCCGAGAAGUGGGCUUCCUUGGACAUGUGUUUAGCAAGGAAGGGAUACACGUGGAUCCUUCCAAAAUCAAGGAGAUCGAGAACUGGUCAGCACCAAGGAAUCCUACAUAAAUCUGUCGAUUCUUAGGCCUCGCUGGCUAUUACCGAAGGUUCAUCCACAACUUCUCCAAGAUCGUCAAACCACUUACCAUCCCGAAUCAAAAGGGUGUAACCUUCAACUAGGAAGAGAAGCAAGAAACCACAUUCCAAAAGUUAAAGCAAGCCCUGUGCAGUGUUGUCACACCCCCGAACCGUCAGAAAAACAACGGAGGAAACAUCAGGGGGCGGCGACGUCAUACGUAGUAUCACAACAAUCAUAUCAUAGCAAUCAAAGUAAACACAACCAUUACAUUACAAUGUGAAUAUUUACAUCUGUUUGAAAACAUAGUUUGUACAUAACAUUUUAUAAUAAAAGAUAAAGACGAGACUCCAAAAAAAUGCUCCGUCUUCUCCAAAAGCUGGGAAGGUACCUGUCUAUCGUUGUCCUGAGAAUACAAGUGAUUUCGAAAACAUAUCAGCAUAAAGCUGGUGAGUUCAUAAGCAUGUUUUCGUAUUGAAAACUAGCCACUGAAUUUGUAUAAAUGUUUUCUUUACAUUAUAAGUAAAUAUCGUUUGUAUCGAAAACCGUUGCUACCAAGUUCUGAAAUAUGUAUGUGUGCUUACCAAGAGCAUCCAAUAUUUUCUAACAUGUUUGUUGGUUUCUUUAUGAAAAGUACUUUUUGUUUGAAAACCUUGGCUACCACCAGUAUGUAAUGUAUGAUCGUUCGGAAACCCUGGUUACCACCAGUAUGUAUAGUAGUGUUAUUGCUUAAAAUAAAACUAUAAAAGAAGGAAAUCCCUUAAACAAUGAUUAGUUUAUACUUAUUGUGAGUCGUAUAACCAUACUAAUAUGACUAAUGACCUGCUUGACGUUUCUUCACGCAUCGCACGAUUUCAAAAUUUGUCACCCCAGGCGUGCCCGCCUAACUGUAGCUAACAGUUCAGGUGUGGGAUUGUCGGUCCCGAAUAGAUCUAUUCACAAAUUUCACGCUCUCCCUCCAGGUGACUCUGGUUAUACUACCGGAAAGGAUUUAUUGGUACCCCGAGGGGCAAAACGAAGAUAGUUUGACAAUCCUAUAUUAACUAGUUUACGUGUUUGUUCGGUUUUUCUUGAGUUCGAAAUUGUUUGUAACGGUGUAGAGUGUAAAUAAUUAUACAUAAAAUAAUUAUUUAGCAUGACACUCUAGCUUUGUAUUUGUAGUAAUGGAUAACUAAAUCUGACAUAGUUUAUAUGUUUGACUUGCAUGAAGUUUGAAUCUGUAAGACUGGUAAUAAACCCCCAAACUAUACCUAUUAUAGUUUGAAUGGUUGUUACGUUCGUGUAUGGUUUUGGAAACUAUGCAAUUAUGAUUAGAAAGCAUCCCUUAUACUCCGCAUAUUACAAAAGGGAUAAUUGUAUCUAAAUGUUUGAUAGAAAACAAUUGUGAUUGCAUCAGUUUUUAAGUUAUGAGAACUUCUUUGUUUAGCUUGUACCCCCCCCCCCCUGAAAACAUGAAAAACUCGGAAAAGUGUAGGGGUAUUGUGACAUCCCCAAUUUCAUGGCCAGGACCGAUUUGCUUAUGCUUUGUUUUAUAAAUCAGAGUAAUCGUUUAAAGAAAACGGUUGCGGAAUUUGUUCCCAAAACAAAAUAUGAUAAAACUUAUCAAAACGUUUCUCAAAGAGAAUGUAUUUUCACUACAUAAUAAAACCUCGGGAUGUCAUGUUCCGAUACAGACCAAAAGCAUAAACAAUAUAAAAUAGACCUUACAACAGUUAUUUAUAACUACUGAUCUAUAAUCCAAAAUCUUUCGUCAAGUCCACCAAUUUAUACUCUUUUGCCAUUACCUGUAAUGCAAAGAAAACUGAGUGGGUCAGGCUUGGGAGCCUGGUGAGCAUAUAGGGUUUUCAACCCACCAUAAUACAUUUAUUAUAUUCAAUUAUCAAACAAUCAACCUAAUUACCCAUCCCCCAUUAUCUCCAUUUAUCUUAAGGAUCUACCCUAAGAAUCAUCUAUCCUUUAUUCUUAAGGAUUGACCUGAGGUAUAGGCACGAAGUCACAUCGUUGCCAGAGUUUACUUAAUAGGCGCUAACUCCAUAGUCACCAAGGUUUAUACAAUAUGUGCUAACUCCAUAGUCACCAAGGUUUAUACAAUAGGCGCUAACUCCAUAGUCGCCAAGGUUUAUACAAUAGGCGCUAACUCCAUAGUCACCAAGGUUUAUACAAUAGACGCUAACUCCAUAGUCACCAACUAUCCCAUCUACCCAUGUUCUACCCAACCUUUUCGUAGAUACAAAUACUUACACAGUUUAAAUCAUUUAACACAUGUAUAAAACAUCAAUCCUAUGCCCAUAUCAAAUAGACAAACAAUAUAUAUAUAAUCACAUAACACGUAUUUCAUAGCAAAUACUUCGCAUUUAUGUGUUAGAAGAAAGUGAAUAUGCAUUCUCUCAUAUAAACAACAAUAUGUACACAUAACACGUAUUUCAUAUCAAAUACUUUAUAAUUAUGUGAUAGAAGAAAGUGACUAUACACUCACUUGAUCAGAAGAUGAUUGGACAACACUACGGCUUGUAAAAGUAGUAUUCUUCGGUAGAUCUGGAAGAUCUUCACAAAAACCGGGCUCCUCGCGGGAAGAGCUUUGGCUCAGGAAUUGAACUUCUCGGGAUCUUCGGGGCCUUGGGACUUGCUUUGGGGCUCGGGAAUGAUACCAGGGCUUCGGAAUAAUUCGUGCACGAAAAACGAUGCAAAAACACGAGAGAAAUGGAAGAAAUGAGCAAAGAACUCGGCUGCCCUCGACAUCCUUUUAUAGGGGGCUGGAACUUCGAUUUAUGCUGGGCGUAAUGAGGAUAGGAUCGCUGACUCCCCCCUAGAUAAUAUCGGUUAUUUUAUAUUUAAAUUAAAUAUUGAAAAUAUUUAAUNCCCCCCUUCGGAUAAUAUCAGUAUUUUAUAAUUAAAUUAAAUAUCAAAAAUAUUUAAUAAACUUCAAAAAUUCAUAUCUUCCUCAUACGAACUCCGUUUUCGACGUUCUUUAUAUCUCCGCGUAGGUGAGACUACGCUCUACAACUUUCUUUUAGACUCCGUCGGCUAAUUUUGAAUUAUUUUUAUUAUUUAUUUUUAGUAGGCCGGGACAGGAAAACUCCGUUAUAAAUUCAUAACUUCUUCAUCCGACGUCCGUUUUCGCCUAUCUUUUCAUCGUUGCACUACAAUUAACGAGAUCUUCGAUUCUAGUUUAGAUUGUUUCGGCUAAAAAUCGCUCUAUCUCAAAUCGAGUAUUCGGGCUACAUACUGCUAAGUCGAAACUUAGAAAAAUCAUAACUUACUCAUACGAAGUCAGAUUUAGACGUUCUUGUUAUGCACGCUCACGGUUUAACGUAUUCUACGAAUUUCGUUUAGAUUGCUAAGGCUAAAUAUCGUUCUAACGUAAAUUCACUUUUUACAUCGCGCUGUGUUGUGCCGAUUUUGUCGCGAAACUUCGACAGGCCAUAAUUUCUUCGUUAUAACUCGGAUUUCGGCGUUCUUUAUAUGUAUGGAAUCCUUGUAACAUAUACUAUAAAUUAGUUAAGAUUAAUCAUUCUAAAUAAUCUUUCAUCAAAAAGUCAUUUUUAACGCUUAUCGUCUCUAAAUUGACUAGCCCUGAUCUACGGGCGUUACAGGUAUGAACUCACAGUUUAACGUAGGAUUCGAGUGUACGAUCGAUAUGAGUGUUGAGUGUCACCGGAUGUUCUGAAUGCAAUUGGACCCUAUUAAUCAUAUGGUAACACAUAUACGUAUUAGAUUAGGGUAUUUCAUGACUAAUUAUGACGGGAAACCACCCUAAGGUCUUGGAAAUGCUUGUACUAAGUGUUCUAGGUUCCACACGUAGUGAUCCUUGUAAGAUUAAGGCCAAAUAUGAGCAUUAGAGUGGGUGUAUGGCCAUCAAGGUGAGUGUGCGGCUACACACAGGGGUGCGCGGCCGUACAGGGGGUGUGUGCGGCCGUACACUCCUCAUUAGUGCCCGAAUUGUCGAUUUUGAGGUGUUUUUGAGGCGUUCUUGUGCUAAUACCAAGUCCUACUAGUAAAUGAAGACCAAACUCUUCACUUUGGAGAGUUUUAGGGUGUGUGCGGUCACCUUAUGAAGGUGUGCGGCUGCACUCCUUCCAAAGGAUGAAGAACACGAAGAACACUAUGAGUUUUAGGCUUAGAUUUAGGUCUCUUACCACUAUAACAAGCUGAAUGGUGAAGUAGUUCAUGUUUUUUAGACCUUAAGAGUGUUCUUGGAUGAAGUUUUUAGAGAGAGAAAGUAGAGAGAGAGUAGUGUGAAACCAAAGAAGAAAAAGUGAAUGAAAUGGGGUUCUCUACUAUAUAUAUAGGGUCAGGUGUGUGGCUGGGGGAGUGUGUGUGACUGGGUGAGCGGCUGGCUGGCCGCACACACCUACUUUGGUGUGAUUGGCUUGAUUUUGAGAUGCUACACACUUUCUAUCUAGGUUUUACUAAGCAUAAAGCACUCAUAUGGACCCAACAUUUGCUAAAAGAUGUUAAAUCCGAGUUUAAUAUUGAUUUACAGAUCAAUUUCACAGGAUAAAAGUUUCGGGUUGUCACAUCAUCCUCCCCGUUAGAGGGAAUUUUGUCCCGAAAUUCAAGAAUAAAGAUACAGAUCAUGGAUUUGGAAAGAGAUGAGGGUACUUUUGUUUCAUUCAAUCCUUGCGCUCCCAAGUGAAAUCAGGUCCCCGCUUGGCAUUCCAGCGAAGCUUCACUAUCGAAAUGCGACUUUGCUUUGUUCGUUUGACCUCCCGGUCCAUGAUUUCGAUUCUUUCUUCCACGAAGUUCAGGUUUUCGUUGAUUUCAAUUUCGUCAAGAGGGAAUACAAGGGUUUCAUCAGAUAAGCACUUCUUAAGAUUUGAAACAUGGAAGACAUGGUGAAUGUUACCGAGUUCAUGCGGUAAACUAAGUCUGUAGGCUACGGGACCAAUCCUAGCAAGGAUUUUGAAUGGUCCUAUGUACCUUGGAUUUAGUUUUCCCCGUUUUCCAAAGCGUAUCAUGCCCUUCCAUGGCGAGACCUUUAGCAGAACGCGGUCUCCGACCUGGAAUUCCAAGGGUUUUCGUCGUUUAUCGGCAUAGCUCUUUUGUCGAUCUCGAGAAGCCUUUAGUCGUUCCCAGAUUUGUAUGAUCUUUUCGGUCAUCUCGCGGAUGAUUUCUGGACCAGUGAGAGUGCUAUCCGGGACUUGCCCCUUGGCUAGCUGCGUGUCACCCACCUCAGCCCAACACAGAGGGGAUCUGCACUUGCGGUUAAAGAGGGCUUCGAAAGGCACAACCUUGAUACUGGUAUGAUAACUAUUGUUGUAAGAGAAUUCAACCAAGGGCAAAUGGGUGUCCCAUGAUUUACUGAAGUCGAUGACGCAUGCUCUCAACAUGUCUUCCAAGGUCUGGAUGGUUCUCUCACUCUGUCCAUCUGUCUGAGGGUGAUAAGUUGUACUCAUAUCCAACUUAGUUCCAAGAGCCUUCUGUAGGGACUGCCAAAAUCUCGAAGUGAACCUGUUGUCUCGAUUGGAGAUGAUAGAUAUAGGCUCUCCGUGCAGUCGAACUAUUUUCUGGAUGUAAAUUCGUGUGAUCCUUUCCAUUUUGAAAGUUUCUUUGAUUGGUAGGAAGUGAGCGGAUUUUUUCAAUCGAUCGACUAUUACCCAGAUGGUGUCGUACCCACUCGGAGAUUUGGGCAAUUUGGUAAUGAAAUCCAUGGUAAUCCUCUCCCACUUCCACUCAGGUAUCUCGGGCUGUUGAAGUAGACAUGAGGGCUUCUGAUAUUCAACCUUUACUUUGGCGCAAGUCAGACACUUGCCCACGAAGGUAGAAAUCUCGGCUUUCAUGUUUGGACACCAAUAUAGUUUCUUGAGAUCGCAAUACAUCUUAUCCGAUCCUAGGUGGACGGAGUAUCUAGUCUUGUGAGCUUCGUUCAUGACGACCCCUCUGUAACCAUCGAACUUUGGAGUCCAGAUUCGAUUCAUGAAAUAGUAGACUCCAUCUCCCUUGAUCUCUAAGUUCUUUUUCAUUCCUCUUAAGGCUUCAUCCGCCACGUUCUCUGGUUUCAGGGCUUCCAACUGAGCUUCUCUAAUUUGUGCGGGUAGAUGGGAAUGGAUGGUCAGAACAUACAUUAAGGAAAUCGACAAGAUGGAAAAACUGACCAGAACAUACAUUAAGGAAAUCGUGCGAUUGCAUGGCGUACCAAUAUCCAUUAUCUCCGACAAGGAUAGUUGAUUUACCUCAUGGUUCUGGCAGUCACUCCGAAAAUAUCUGGGAACAAGGUUGGACAUGAGUACAACCUACCACCCACAAACUAACGGGCAUAGUGAGAGGACUAUACCAACGCUAGAAGACAUGUUGAAAGCAUGUGUGAUAGAUUUUGGUAAAGCUUGGGAUACCCAUUUACCACUUAUCAAAUUCUCAUACAAUAAUAGAUAUCAUGCUAGCAUCAAGGUUGCUCCAUUCGAAGCCCUUUAUGGCCGCAAGUGCAGAUCACCGCUGUGCUGGUCUGAAGUAGGUGACACACAACUAGCUAAGGGACAAGUCCCUAGAAUCACUCUCACUGGCCCCAAAAUUAUAAGGGAAGCGACAGAGAAGAUUGUCCAAAUUCGAGAACGAUUAAAGGCUUCUAGAGACAGGCAAAAGAGUUAUGCGGAUAACAGACGGAAGCCCUUGAAAUUCCAGGUCAGAGAACGGGUGCUGCUGAAGAUCUCACCCUGAAAAGGUUUGAUACAUUUUGGAAAACGUGGGAAACUAAAUCAAGGUAUAUCAGGCCGUUCGAGAUCCUCGCCAGGAUUGAGCCGGUAGCAUACAAGCUUUGAUUACCACAAGAACUCAAAAAUGUACAUCCUACCUUCCAUGUGUCCAACUGAAAGAAGUGCUUGUCCGAUGAGACUCUCGUCAUCCCACUUGACGAGAUUGAAAACAACAAGAGUCUCCACUUCGUAGAAGAACCGGUAGAACUCAUGGACCGGGAGAUCAAAAGAACAAAACAAAGUCGCAUUCCCUUUGUGAAGGUCCGAUGAAACUCUAAACGAGGACCCAAGUUCACUUGGGAACGCGAAGAUCAGAUGAAACUAAAAUACUCACAUCUUUUCCCCAGCCGUUGAAGCCCCAGUCGAAACGCUAAUUUCAGGACGAAAUUCCUUUUAACGGGGGGAUGAUGUGACAAUUGUCAAUUUCGAGGCAAGUCAAUGAGUCAAACCGAUAAGCUCAUCUAGUGCUUGUAUGAUAGGUUUUACUCUAUGUUUACUAAUGUACAACUCUCUACCUUAAUACAAAGUAUCACUAGGAAGUUUCAUAUGUUAAGAAAAUUCUAAACCCUAACCAGGGUGAGCGAUGUAACGAAUCUAUAAAGUACUAUUAUGUACCCAUCGGGGGAUUAAGACACUCAUAACAAAGCAUAAUGGGGUUUGCGAACCUUGCAUUAUGGGGACAAACACUAACAAAGGCUACAAACAAAAUCUCUCCCACUCUAUCUCUAUCUCUCCCAAAUCUCUCUCAAAAUCACUCCCAAUCUCUCUCAAACCUCUUAGUGAUAAAAAUCAUGAUUUUCGAUGUUUUUAUGAACAUCCGUACCAUCCCGAGCCUUCCCUUGGUCGAAAACAGCUUAAAACGGAAGAAAGAAGUCAAAAAGAGGGCUGAAGGUUCGCAGGGUACGGUUCAAUAUGAAUUUAGUUUAGGUUUAUACCUUUCUAAUGACUACUUGCACAUGUUCAUACAAUCUACGACGAUUUUUACAAAACUGCCUUUCAUUUCACAAACGAUUUCGGACCAGUAUGUGAAUAUGGACAUUUUCACACUGUUUAGAGACCUCUAAAAAUCAUAAUUAAAAUUAUGAACAAACUAGACAUAUUUUCUAAACUCUCAGAGUUUACGGGUCUAUUUUUCGACUUACAAUAUUUUUUCUAUGAUUUUUAUAAAAACAGUGACAGAAAAGUCAAAACUAGUAAAAAUAGUUUAUAAAUUCCUUAACACUUUGUAACAUGUUGAACAAAGUGUAUAACCAUGUUUAGCUACAUCUUAAUCGUAUUUCAUGUUAGUUUAUCUUCAUGAAACAAAAUUAGAUAUUCAUCAUAAGGAUUAUUCAUUCAUUACAAACAUAUAUGAUAAGCUAUAAUAGGUAUAGUUAUUGUUAAUUUGUUACACUACAAAUACACUAUGAAAGGUUUCCAAUACACUACAAAAGGGGUUUUCAUUUACUACAAACAUAUGGGAUAAACUAUAAUAGGUAUAGUUUAUGGUACAUUAACACUACAAACAAACUAAGGAAGGUUUCAUUUACACUACAAAAAGGAUUUUCAAUCAUACUACAAGUAAACUCGUUGAAUCAAAUUUGUGAGACGUCACUUCAUUGUACUCUUUAGGGUAUUGUUUAAAUUCCUGUAUUAUAACCAUAGUCUCCUAUAGGGAGAGUGUGAUACUUGUAUAUAGAUCUAUAGUGGGACUGACAAUCCCGCACCUAAGCUGCACGCAACAGCUAGACCAGUAGGUCCGGGGUGACAAAUGUCAAAACAUUCUGACGCCCGAAGUAUGCCGUAACAGGCUUACUAUCUCAAUUGCACAAUUAUAAUAACUUAUAUAGGGAAACAACAACACAUAAAGUUUACGGUAAUUCUUACAUUCGAAAGGGUUUUAAUUAUUUAAAACUGCCUACACUAUUAUAAGUAUGGAAAAAUACUUGUACAUUUCGGUCUUUGGGUUUUAAGACUACAACUCAUUUAUAAGGAAAAUAUUGGAUUUUUCUUGAACAUACACUACAUUUACAAAGAAAGGUUUUUCAAUUCUACAUACAAAAGCUUAUGCACCCACUAACUUAAUUGUUGACAUUCUUUCAAAAUUACUUGUAUUCUCAGGUAAUCAAUGAAAACAGAUAAAUACCAACUUUUGAGGAUGGAACGCUAUGGCGUUAGACAUACCAUUUUAUCAUUAUAUUGUAAUUGAUUGUUGGGUCAAAAAUAUGGUUUAUACGAUUCUUUUCUAGGCAAUUGGGUUUCCGUUCAUAUGAUAUGUAUUUGAAGUUGUGUGUUCACGACCCAAGCGAGUGUUUACGGCUGUGAACUGGUUCACAGCCGUGAACCUGUUCACAACCCAUGUUCCAUAUAAAUUGAUGUAAGGGUGAGGAGUGCAAGAGAAAAACAGAACGGCUAGAAAGGAGCUUAAGUGUGUGUACUGUAAGGUGUUCUAGAGAGGGAAAGUGAGAGAAUGUGCAAGUGUGUGUGAAUCUUGAGUUGGAUCAUAACUCUUAUCAUCAAGACAUUGAAGAUUCAUCUUUUUCUUCUUCUCCUUAUUCUUCAUAUUGAUCUUGCAUCAUCCAAUUGAUUGGGAUUCCGCACCACCAAUUGGAUAUGAAUGAUACGUCAAGAAAAUUUGGGACUUAUAGUUGGUAUCAGAGCUUGGUCUGUAUCGAUCAUUUUGGCUAGAUAUGGAGCGUUUUUGAUGUUAUUUUUGACGGAUUUUUGUGUUUUUGGAUAGUUCUUGUCAAAAUAGUGGGGGUUUGUUCUUUGCGUUUUUCAUAAAAACGAGUUUCUGGUCGAGUUUUGGAGCAAAAAGAGGUGAAAAACGCUGUUUUUUCGCGAUCCGAAGAAGCUUUCACGGCCACCGAAGCAGUGUUCACGGCCGAGAAGAAGGUAUCACGGUCCUCGGAGCUUUCACGGUCCUUGGUGGGUUCACGGUUCGAGGUUCGUAUACGACCGAGAAGCGUUCACGGCUCAACAUUCUCGCACGUUCACGGUCUUCGCCUCGUUCACGGAUCAGCAGCCUCGUUCUCGGCCUCGCACCUCGCAAGUGUUCGACCCAGCUUAUAUUUGGAUCCCACCUUCGCAUACGUGGACCUACAACAAAUAAAUUAAAAAUUUUGUGGCUUGCUAAUUUUCGAACUCACGCCACUUCAUCAGCCCACCGUCUUACCAUCUCAUCUAGCAAGAAACUUGUUACAAGCUUUCGAAAUUUAACUCAAAUAUUAUACUUUCGCACCUAAUUUCGCAUUUUUAACAUAUUUUGCCCAAAAUUCAAUUUUUCAAAUUUUCAAUAUCCAUUUUCAACCAAAGAAAAAUUAGUUUUUAAUUUUUUACUUUGAUUUUUGACUUUUGACUUUAACCUUCAAGUUUGACCUUUAACUUUAAACUUUGACUUUCUUGUUUAACUUUAAAUUUUUUCAAAUUUAGUUUUUCGGUUUAACUUUUUAAGUUUGACUUUUUAAAUUUGACUUUUAAGGUUAACUUUUGAUUUUUUAAGUCAAAGAGCAAUUUUUUGAUAAACAAUGAGUUCUUCAAGCAUCCCGGUAAAUGAAGUUUCAUGUACUCCAUCUUGUGAAGCUACAAUUAAAUUUCUUCGUGAGCAAAUUGAAUUAAUGAAGAGGGAGAACGAGGAACUUAAGUAUUAGAGGUACACCCUUAGGAAAGGCCAGAAACCAUUGAAAGAACAGUUAGAGGCCAAGACGAAGGACUUUAGGAAAUUGCAGGAUGAGUACAGUAACAAGUGUGUCAAUUAUAGAUAUCUUCAGAAAGAACUUGCUGUUGUAACUGAAGAACUUGGCACAUUAAAGAUCCGUUUUCAAAAUGCUGAUUUCUAUUUUUAGAAAUUCGACGUGUCAAGUGAAAAGGUUGAAACCAUGAUUGAAAAACAAUUAAAGUUUAAGGAUAAUCAAACCAAAGGUCUAGGGUAUAAUAGUGUUCCACCUCCUUUUAAUGACAACUAUAACCCACCCCUUGAGACCAAUGAGGAAGAAAUGUUUGCUUAGUAUGGCCAAACCCCUGUCCUAGCUUAAGUUAAGACUGAAUCAUCUGAGCCUACUGAGAUUAUUCCGGUGAAUGCUUCUGAUGCUUCUACUUCAUGUGUAGGUAAAGUAGCAGAAGAUGAGGACAAAGAGAACACUAUUGAACAAAACAAUGACUCAUGGAACUCUGAAUCUAUUACUUCUAAUUCUGUUACUCCUAACAAACCUGCUAUUGAGAAAUACAGACCACCAAAACAAGCGAAACCGACGGCUUGUUGUAUGUAUGCAUGUGGGAACAACCAGAAGCGAGGUAAGGUUACACCACCAGGGGCAGAAAGAAACAAUUCUUACAUGAAGAAAAAGACAUGCUUUCACUGUGGAACACUUGGACACAUUGCCAGAAAUUGUCCAAAUCGCGCAUACGUUCCCUACUACGCACAAGGAUGGCAAAACGCACCAAGAGGGAGAUUUUCAAAAAGAAGCCCUUCAAGGCCACAAUCGCACAAUGGUGAUUGUUACGCGCAAAAGGCCAAGAAUCAAAAUCCCAAAUUCAAGAAGGGAAUGUCAACCAAGAAGUCCAAUCCAAGAGAUGCUUCAGUGACACCAAGAGUGGUUAGAUCAAAUUCAUCUCGAAGAUGGGCUUUAAGUUCAAAAUCAAGUGUCGAGGCACCCAUCUGAACGAACAAGAAAUGGGUUAAACCCAACUAUAGAUGGGUACCAAAGGUUCAAUCUCCCAAAUCUUCUAAUGAUUCUAAUAUUUCUACAUCUUUUGUUUGUGAUAAGCAGGACAUGUCAUGGGUGAGAGUACCUUGCAAGGAUGAAAAAAGUCGAACCAGUUUCAAAAUGGAUUGGGUUCCAAAGACAAACUAAUCCCGCUCUGUGUCGGAACAGCUAUGGAGGCAUAUUAUCAGACUUCGGUUUGUAAAUAGUGGUUGUUCCAGGCACAUGAUAGGAGACAUCUCUCAACUGUACAAGACUCAAAAAUUUGUUUAAGAGUAUGUGUCCUUACGGGAAAGGAAAAAAUGAGAGGAUCACACAUGGGGUUUUGUGCUUAACGAUGUGAAGAAUUUUCGGAUCUGUUAUGAGAUUAUGCGUGUUGUUCUUAGACCUUCUGGAUGCAAAUUCAAUCGGUGACUUACAGUUUGAGUUUUCUUCUCGAUACUCCUGAUUUUUUCUCUUACAUUGAUUCAUUUAAAAGACAAUUUUUUUAAUUUCCUUAUGUGUAUUUAUUUAGUAGGUAUUAAUUGGGAAGUGAUAUGAAGUCUAGUGCCAAAGGGCAAUUUAUGAUGCGUGUAAUGCACUAAACCAAAUUAUCUAGACUCUAUGCUCAAUGUGCUGGUAGGCACAAAGGAUUCAAAAGGACUAGACUUAGAUUGAGAAUAAAAGGACUUGACAGUAUGGACUUAGAUAGUUCUAUUUGGAUUGACCAUAUGACGCUUGGAUAGAUUGAACAGUGAGAUAAACAUGAGAACCUGCAGGAUACACUAAAAAUUAAUUAUCUAGAACUAUGGCUUAACAUUUCCUUGAUGUAUGGACUCAUGUCCUUAAUUCUGGUACUGAUAGGGCGACUGGGGGGUUCUGAUAAAGUAGGUCUGUAGGAAAUUAUUUUCUUACUUUCUAUCUGUCAGUCAUAUGCUGCAUCCUCGACGUGAUUGGAACUUAUCUGACCUGGAAUGCAACAUAUGCAACUCUAUCUCUAUGCAUACCCUUAUAUAUGCAAUUCUUUCUAUCUGUUAGCCAUAUGUUGUCCCCUCUACGUGAUCGGAAGAUCCGACCAGGGACACAACAUAUGCACCCUACUAUCUCUCUAACCCUUUAUCUAUGUUAGUCAUAUGUUGUUCCCUCUGCGUGAUUGGAAGACAUCCGACAUGGGAUACAACAUAUGCACUUCUAUAUCUGACUUCUUUCUUAAUGAUUGAGUACUCACCUAAAGUAAGUAGUGCUUUGGAAGUUCUUGAUUAUUGGGGUAUGUCGGGAAGUGAGGAACACGUUCUAGUGCAUCUAAAAUUGAACCAUUUACUAGGUCGUCUGUAGAUCUCGCCGCUUAAUUUAAGUCGACAAUAAUAUCCUUGGUCGUCAUCAGCUAAAUGGUCUAUUUAGGAAUAUAGGUGCAAUGUCCUGUCACUUAUAAUCUGUCCAAUUUGUCAAAUAUCCUUUAUGUUUAAGUGGACCACAAUACCGGUGGUUGACCAGAUCUAGACAUGCAGGCGUGUGCUGAUAAACGACAUUGAAUUGUCUGACAACUUUGAUCCCAAAUAUUUUUGUUUUUGUUAAAUUUUUUCAUAGUUUUCCUCUAUGCACAAAUUUAGGGGGAGAAUUAAAAAUUUUAAUAAUCAAACAAAAAAUAAAAAAAAUCCAAAAAUACUUUUGUUUCUGUUUUUUUUUUUAUAAAAAUAUGAAAAAAAAUGUAUUGUGAGCUAAGUUUUCUUUUAGUUUUGUUUUUAUCUCAAAUUUUCUUUGUCUUGAAAAGUGAAUUCAGAUGUAGAUGAGACUCAUGGAGAUUGUAUCGAGAUUUUCUGAGCCAAGGCUUCCUACGUGAUCAUCGAAGAAUUCUCAUUCGAAGGAACAAGAAAUGAAGAUUAUUCUUUCAACAUUCAAUCUUUCAACCCCAGAAGCCAGGUGAAUCUAACUUGAAGAUUAUGUGACAGAUUGCAUUGAAGCCUCCUCAAUCAAUUUGUUGCUAUCUAUGAACUUGCUGAAGUGAUCCAGAAGAUUAGCUCUCUCUGUUGUUCUCUCUGAAGUUUCUCAAGUUGAAAGUGCCAUUUUCCAAGAAUCUAUACAUGAAGCCUCCUCACCCAACGUUCGUUCAAAGUCAAAUCUUGAAGAAAAUCCCAUCUGUUCAAGAUGAAUUCAUUCAGCUAGAAGAUUCAAGUUCAUUUUGAAGCUGUGAAGAAAUCGAAUAUAAACGUUGAAGCCAAGCUUCCAAUGAAGAUUGACAAGAAAAGUCAGCUACUUUUUAGGGGGAGUUUGUUGGGUCAAUUAGAAAAUAAAUCUAUAAACCAAGGGGGAGAUUGUUGGGUCAAAAUAUGGUUUAUACUUUGCUUUUCUUGGCAAUUGGGUUUUCGUUCAUGUAAUAUGUGUUUGCAGUUGUAUGUUCACGGCCCAAGUGGGUGUUUACGGCCGUGAACCUGUUCACGACCCAUGUUCCAUAUAAAUAGAUGUAAGGGUGAGGAGUGCAGGAUAAAAAUGGAACGACUAGAAAGGAGCUUAAGUGUAUGUACUCUAAGGUGUUCUAAAGAGAGAAAGUGAGAGAAGGUGCAAGUGUGUGUGAAUCUUGUGUUGGAUCAUAACUCUUAUCAUUAAUACAUUGAAGAUUCAUCUUAUUCUUCUUCUCUUUCUUCUUCAUAUUGAUCUUGUAUCAUCCAAUUGAUUGAGAUUCCGCACCAUCAAUUGGAUCUGAUUGAUACAUCAAGCAAAUUUGGGACUUAUAUCGAUUUUGAAACAUGUAACUUUUUCGAUUAUAUUUAUAAUGGUUGAAUUUACUUUGUCCACUAUUAUACUCAUUGUUAUGAUACUAUACAUGAAGUCCUCCACCCCCGGACGUUUUCGCCAUCAUUUGUUUGGGGUUGUGACAAUUAUGCCCCUUGAAUGGAAUUAGUGGUUCCAUUGUUUAUUAUUAGUAAUCAUAGCCUUUUCAUGGAGUACUCUUUGUAUAACCAAAAUCUCUCCUUCAUGAGUUUGAAUCUAUCUUUAAGAUAUAAGAUUGGUGUGUAACACCCUAUUUCGAGUCGAUUCAGAAUUUGGGGUCGUGACCCGAAGAUCAAGUAUUAUAAGGCUUAGGGCUUUAGUCUUUGUGCUUUUGGGAAAUAGAGGUUUAGACCCAUUUGUAUGUGGGUAAUGUAGAUUACGGGAUCCAAGAGUUUGGUUGGUGCUUUAGAGUCAAAGGGUAAAAUGGGAAAAGUGGUGUUUUAGAUUUCUUUUAUGAAUUAAGUAUUUUAGUUCGAUGUGUUUUAAGUCAAAAGUAAUUAGAUAAGGUUGUAGAGAUCCUCAACACAUUUUCGUGGAUAUACAGAUCAUCGAAAUCAGAGUUCUAAUGAAGCAGUUAUGACCGUUUGAAGUUAGGGAGAUUUUGGGUUAAUCUGCGUAUGUUGGGCGUACUCAACAUGUACACUGGGCGUACUAGGCAUGCAUGGAGUACACUGGGCAUACCUGGAGUACGUUGGGAAUACGCGAUCAGUGCCCAAGCCCUAUUUUUGUUGUUUAAUCCCUAUUUAAACUCAUUAACUUCCCCAAACCUAUUCCAUUCUCAACCUCCACCUCUCCAGCACCCGCCCUUGAAACCCUAACCCUAGCUUAAGCCUUGUGAGCAAAAAGAAUGUGUUUUCAAGUGCUUUGGAGUGCUCUUGGUGCAUCUUGGAGAAUAAUGAGCUCAUUGGAGAAGUGAUGGUUGCAAUGGAGCUUGUAGAUCCAGACCUUAUUCACCUUGAUCUUUCUUCUGGAGGUAUAGAGUUUGAAUCUUGAUGAUGAAGUUGUUAGAUCUAGCUAGUACUGGGUGUUAUGAGCUUUUUGUAACAUUAAGUGCAUAAAGUUUAGAUCUUGAAAGUCUGUGACCUUAUUAUGGAUAAAGUUGGAAACUUUAACCAUCUAAACAUCAUAUUGAUUCAUAUAUGAAGGUUAGAGACUUGGACUUGAUGGAUUAAGUUGAAAAAGAUGCACUUUUGGUCCCUUUGAGACUUAAAGACUAGAUCUUGUUUGUUAGGACCAUUCUAAUGGAUAAAGUUGGAAACUUUAUCCAUUAUAGAGUCAUCAAGAACCAUAAAAAUGUAACCUUGGUCCCUAGUUUUCCUCCAUGCAUGGUCUUGGAUGUCUUAAUGGGUUAAGAAGUUAUGGUUUUUGGAUGUUGAAGACUUAAUAGCCAUGUAAGACCAUAAAGUUGGAAACUUUAUGGUUAAGGAUAUGAUUUGAGGGUUAGAUCUGGACUUUGGAUGAAAGAGCUUAAAGGAUUAAGCUCUUAAUGGAUUGGGAGGAUAGCAGUCGCGUAUGUUGGGCGUACCAAAGGGUACGUUGUGCGUACGUGGUCAGCCCCUCGACUUCUGGUCAAGGCGUAGUAUGCCACGCGUAUGUGUUGAGUACGCCAAACGUAUUCAAUUGAGUUGACUCGGUCGACUCGGUUGAAUUUUGAUUUUGACCAAGUUUAACCUAAGGGCAUUUUGGGUAUUUUGAUUUAUAGUUUGAUAUUUGGGUUCCUGUUAAUUGUAUAGGUGACUGGUAGAUUUUAGAGCAGUUAUCGGUGCAACUAUUCUUUCAGACUGUGAGGUGAGUCUCUUUACUGUACUUGUGGGUAAAAGGCACCAAUGUCGGCCCACUGGAUUAUGUUUGUAGGAUAAUGGUUGUCUUUGUGACACUUGUUGGUAUGCAUUUAUGUGCUUGUUGUCUUCGUGACUUAUGCUUAUAUGUUUUUAUACUUACGUAUGUGGGGUGAAACGGACCCGGGGGUUGAAAACUACCCCGACAUAGCUACAAGUUGUUAUAUAGAGUCAUUAUGGACCCUAGGUUGAUACAAACCCUAGGGUUGAUACGGACCCGACACAGCUAUAAGUUGUUAUAUAGAGUCGUUAUGGACUCGGGGUUGAUACAGACCCGACACAUAUUUGUAUAUAUGUGGUAUGCGGUAUUUUGGGGAACUCACUAAGUUAUGUGCUUAGGAUUCCAUAUUUAUGAUUUCAGGUACUUUCAGUUCAAAAGUGUAGGGUCCGAUGUGACUACACAACAUCCCCCAGAGUUUUCUGCAUUGGCAAUUAAUGAUUUUACUCUAAUGUUUAAAUAAUAUAUUGACUUUGAUCCGUUUUGGAACAACUCGUUUGUAUGAUCUGUUGUUUUAAAAAUGAAAAUUUUACCUUAGAUUUUCGGGACGUUACAUGGUGUCUCCUCUCCUUCUCGGCCAUUAUGACAAUGUACCCUCAACCUAUUUUAAGUCAUACUCUUUGGUUUGAACAUUCAACUUGAAGAUGUACCUAAGACUUAACAUUUAAAAUAUUUCUCCGUUGGUGCAUUAAAAGCAUAACCUUUACAUUUGUAUUGCUUUGUUGAGCUAUCACGUUUUAAAGGUUUUUUUUUCUUUAUGGAAUGGAUUCUUGAAAGAACUAUCCUUUAUUAGUAAUUGGGAGUUGGCCUUUCUACUUUAUUAUUUUUAGACAAAAUUGCAAGUUUGGUUCCUGUGGUAUGUCAAAAAUUGGAUGUUUAGUACACAAUUUUUUGGAGUUGCACCACUGGUCUAAAAAGUGAAUUCUAUUGUAGGUUUGGUCCAAAGAUUUUUGGACAAACUUAAAAUGACUGAUUUACCCUUCAUAUUUAGUUUUCUUAUUUUUCUUUUAUCGUAUACAUUUAAAAAAAUG